RNAcentral lists this ribosomal RNA (252 nucleotides) under uncultured bacterium. Its description in RNAcentral is "partial 16S ribosomal RNA". It matches the Rfam family "Bacterial small subunit ribosomal RNA", at positions 524 to 776 of the family's 1533-position model. The record is from RNAcentral.
UACGAAGGUCCCAAGCGUUGUUCGGAAUCACUGGGCGUAAAGGGAGCGUAGGCGGCGUGGUAAGUCAGAUGUGAAAUCCCGGGGCUCAACCCCGGAACUGCAUCCGAUACUGCCAUGCUUGAGGGUUGGAGAGGUAGCUGGAAUUCUCGGUGUAGCAGUGAAAUGCGUGGAUAUCGAGAGGAACACUCGUGGCGAAGCGAGCUACUGGACAACAUCUGACGCUGAGGCUCGAAGGCUAGGGGAGCAAACAGG